GGCCUGGGUAUGUUUUCAUCAGUCUUCAUUGACAUCAGCUGCUGUAGGGUUGUUGUGGUCUCCGUAGUCGCCGUGUUUUCUCAUUAUUCGUAGUCAGAAUUAUUUGCCUCCGUCGCCGCCGCCGUCGUCGUCACCGCUACUACCAUUCACCACCACCAACGCCAUUGUCGCUCCAAACGCUUGCUACACUACCAACGCGGCAAGUAAACUUCCUCCGACACACAUACACUUACACACGUACUCGCGCACAUAUACAUAUGCAAACGCGAUUGCAGAAACGGCAUAGAACGCUUAACAGCGAGUAAUAUAUUUUUGUAUGAAGAAAAAAAAUCAAAAAAAAAGUAGUAACUAAUUAGAAAAAAAUACCGCAAAAUUGCCAACGUGGAGCUACGAAAAUAACGAAGCAGAAGAAGCAGUAAAAAUUAUUAAAUCCAGCGAAAAGCCAAACAAGUUUGUGCGCAGAAAAUUAAAUAGUAAAAUUAAACAUUCAAUACGUAAGACAACAACAGUAACAACAACAUCGAAGAAGAGUGGAAAACUAGCAUCCAACAAAGAACAGUGAUUAUUUAAAUUAGCCGUAUCUCAGACAUUUUAUAACUUUGGAUACCCUUGUUCUCGUAGCCGAUCUCCAAGAAGACUUUAAAAAAAACAUGUCUCUGGCAGUGGGGAAGAUGUUGCUGCUUAAAAUUUGAGCAAAUCCAAAAACUAAAAAUAUUUUCAAUAGCUGAAUACGGCCAAUGAUGAACUAGUCGAAAUUUUAGCUAACGCGUUCCCCAAAAAAGUAUUUUAUAUGCAAAAAAGUGGAGUGCAUAAUGGCAUUAAAUUCAAUUAAAAAAUCGAAGCUUUUCUCAAUAAUGGCUACAAAAAUAUCGACCUUUUGGACUCCACAUAUGGAUAUAUCCCCUUAAGUUAAACUAAACUUAAGUUAACUUAAAUUAACUAUUGGAGUUAAAUAGCAUUUAUAGCUAUCACUAUUUUUGAAGUUUCACGGAAUCUGAAAAUGGGAGAAGAAAUUGCGAAACUGUGGAAAAAAAUCUUAACUCCAUUG
Long non-coding RNA from Bactrocera latifrons, 1048 nucleotides. RefSeq lists it as uncharacterized. The record is from RefSeq and is a predicted model, not a curated record. The transcript has 3 exons. NCBI's taxonomy places the organism in Eukaryota, Metazoa, Arthropoda, Insecta, Diptera, Tephritidae.